GGCGCCGCAGAGUGGCCGGGUGGACCUGGCGCCGGUGGUGGCGGCGGGUCCGCGGAUCGCGGCCGGGCUGGCGUCGAUCCGGUCCGCGCGGCAGCGCC
This 98-nucleotide transfer RNA is filed under the name Mangrovihabitans endophyticus. RNAcentral describes it as "tRNA-Thr". The record is from RNAcentral. Lineage: Bacteria; Bacillati; Actinomycetota; Actinomycetes; Micromonosporales; Micromonosporaceae.